RNAcentral lists this non-coding RNA (31 nucleotides) under Rattus norvegicus (Norway rat). Lineage: Eukaryota; Metazoa; Chordata; Mammalia; Rodentia; Muridae. The record is from RNAcentral.
UUGUUUGAGGGCUUUUCUCUCUUGAAGAGAC